RNAcentral lists this ribosomal RNA (435 nucleotides) under uncultured bacterium. RNAcentral's name for it is "partial 16S ribosomal RNA". It matches the Rfam family "Bacterial small subunit ribosomal RNA", at positions 29 to 507 of the family's 1533-position model. The record is from RNAcentral.
AACGAACGCUGGCGGCAGGCUUAACACAUGCAAGUCGAACGCGUGCAGCAAUGCACGAGUGGCGCACGGGUGAGUAACGAGUGGAUAUCUGCCUUUUUGUUCGGAAUAACCCCGGGAAACUGGGGCUAAUACCGGAUGGUUCCUACGGGAUAAAGAUUUAUCGCCAAAAGAUGAGUCCGCGUCCGAUUAGCUAGUUGGUGAGGUAAUGGCUCACCAAGGCGACGAUCGGUAGCUGGUCUGAGAAGACGAUCAGCCACACUGGGACUGAGACACGGCCCAGACUCCUACGGGAGGCAGCAGUGGGGAAUAUUGGACAAUGGGGGCAACCCUGAUCCAGCCAUGCCGCGUGAGUGAUGAAGGCCUUCGGGUUGUAAAGCUCUUUUGGCGGGGACGAUGAUGACGGUACCCGCAGAAUAAGCCCCGGCUAACUUCGUG